UACGUAGGGGGCUAGCGUUGUCCGGAAUCAUUGGGCGUAAAGCGCGUGUAGGCGGUCCGGUAAGUCCGCUGUGAAAGUCGAGGGCUCAACCCUCGAAUGCCGGUGGAUACUGUCGGGCUUGAGUACGGGAGAGGCGAGUGGAAUCCCUGGUGUAGCGGUGAAAUGCGCAGAUAUCAGGAGGAACACCGAUUGCGAAGGCAGCUCGCUGGAACGUUACUGACGCUGAGACGCGAAAGCGUGGGGAGCAAACAGG
Molecule: ribosomal RNA, 253 nt
Filed under: uncultured bacterium
Lineage: Bacteria
Description: partial 16S ribosomal RNA
Rfam family: Bacterial small subunit ribosomal RNA
Source: RNAcentral